GCUGGACAGGGUGGCUCACGCCUGUAAUCCCAGCACUUUGGGAUGCUGAAGUGGGUGAAUCACGAGGUCAGGAGUUCGAGGCCAGCCUGGCCAACAUGAUUAAACCCUGUCUCUACUAAAAAUACNNNNNNNNNNGUAUUUUUAGUAGAGACAGGGUUUAAUCAUGUUGGCCAGGCUGGCCUCGAACUCCUGACCUCGUGAUUCACCCACUUCAG
Non-coding RNA from Gorilla gorilla gorilla (western lowland gorilla), 215 nucleotides. It matches the Rfam family "Metazoan signal recognition particle RNA". From Rfam's summary of the family: The signal recognition particle (SRP) is a universally conserved ribonucleoprotein. NCBI's taxonomy places the organism in Eukaryota, Metazoa, Chordata, Mammalia, Primates, Hominidae. The record is from Rfam.